ACCCUCUCAGGAUCGCAUCUGGAUAAUUUCCAGUACUCUACCAAUCUAGACUGUGGGAGGGAGAGUCAAACAGAGGCCUACCCAUUCCAUUCCUAGCUUGGGCAGUGGCUAGCGAAUGGAAGGCAAUCUGUUACAAAU
Tachyglossus aculeatus (Australian echidna) is the source of this 138-nucleotide small nucleolar RNA. Lineage: Eukaryota; Metazoa; Chordata; Mammalia; Monotremata; Tachyglossidae. The record is from RefSeq and is a predicted model, not a curated record.